This 1682-nucleotide long non-coding RNA is filed under the name Sus scrofa (pig). RNAcentral describes it as "lncRNA (ENSSSCG00030008347.1)". The record is from RNAcentral. Lineage: Eukaryota; Metazoa; Chordata; Mammalia; Artiodactyla; Suidae.
GGCGAGCUGCAAAUGGCGACCGCAAAAGGCAGGUGCCCAGCCACUAACUUCGGGCUCUGGGCCGAGGGCCGCUCCCCUGAGAAGAGGCCAGUUUGGAGGCCGCGGCAGGCAGCGUUUCCCGCCCUGCUGGUCUCCGGGGUGGCGCUCACUGCGAUCCCAGGAGGGUCGGCUAACAUCUUCCUUUUACAGACCAGGGAUUGAAGCAGGACAGACUGGGAGUUGCCGUUCCUCUCAUUCCUUCCCCAUCAGUCAGGGGUGCCUGAGAGAUGACGUCCACCCAGACGUAAAGCAGAUGGUUUUUCUAUGGGAAGCAAGGCCCGUGAGAACGUUCUUUCCUGGAACUCCCAAAUCAUGGACAUUAGUCAACAGCCAUGCCACAGCCUACCCGGACAUACUAUGUUCAUGUAGAGUCAUGUAUUCAUCUCCAGCUGUAGAAAAGAAUAUAUCAAAGCCCAUGUUUCUACACUGACUACCAGAGUUAUUGUUCUGCCUCAGUGUAGACCAACAGCUUAACUCCACUUCAACCCCUAGCCUGGGGGACGUCCAUAGGCUGCGGGUGCAGCAAGGAAAAAAGGACAAAGAAAUAGCGUCUUGAGAACACUGGCUUGAGAUGGGAAGAAAUCAGGGCUGCAGGGCCGUAGGGGGAGGUGUGUGUCUGCUCCACUACACAGCAGCAGCGACGUAAGCAUCAGAAAUUAGGCAGGAAGGUUACAGAGACACCCUCCCAUCCCCAUUUAAGACUGGAAAUAGGAUGAAGUUGAAGGGAAGGGGUGAGAGCAGAGCUGGGCCCCUUCCAGCCGUCACCACAGGCCUGGGGCUGCACCCCGGCGGGAGGCUGCUCACUGGGACCCCUGGGUUCUGACCAACAGGAGGGCAGCCCAGCCUGCCCCUAACUCCACAGGGCCAGUGGGCGCUGUCCAGCGGGGCCUCCACUGGGGGCUGCCACCUGGCUGGAGGAAACAGGGCGAGCUCUCAAAACUGUAAGUGCUCCCUCUCGAGCCCACCAGAGGCUUCCUAGGGUUUCAUGGUCUCCCUCGCAGGCCUCUCUGCUGUGUUUGCUAUCAUGACAGGGCCACUUACCGUUGCCCGCCAUGGUCCUUCGGGAGUUAAUGCCAGACAGCUGCCUCGGAGACACUGGCUCUCUGCUGAUGGAGCCGGGCUGGGGGGAGCCUGUCCCUGUGGGGAUGUAUAAAGGCCACCCAGGGGGACCAGCCAUCCUGCCUCAGAGUCCCCCUGAGGAGGAGCCAGCUGUCUGCUCCCUCCCUGAGUUGCGCAGUGGACCCAAGUCCACGUCCGGGUUGUGAUAACUAUUCAGCCGGCCAGCAAGGCUUUUGAAGCAAAACGGUCUAACUGGAGUUGGAGAAGGACAGCAUCCAGAAACACCAGUUCCGUAGGGGGUGAGCUGCAAGGAACAAGCAAGAAGCUCAUACACUAUGCAUCGCCAGGAGUUCCCAUCGUGGCACAGCGGAAAUGAAUCUGACUAGGAACCAUGAGGUUUCAGGUUCGAUCCCUGGCCUCAAUCAGCAGGUUAAGGAUCUGGCGUUGCCAUGAGUUGUGGUGAAGGUUGCAGACGCGGCUCGGAUCUGGUGGUGGUGUAGGCCAGCAGCUGUAGCUCCGAUUAGACCCCUAGCCUGGGAACCUCCAUAUGCCAUGGGUGUGGCCCUAAAGAGACCAAAAAAAAA